AUCAUUUCUCUGCCUUUUGGCUGUGAUCAAGUGUAGUAUCUGUUCUUAUCCAUGUGUGAGGAACAUCAUAGCUAAGGGAUGUAUGUCAGGACCCAUU
Molecule: small nuclear RNA, 97 nt
Organism: Xenopus tropicalis (tropical clawed frog)
Lineage: Eukaryota; Metazoa; Chordata; Amphibia; Anura; Pipidae
Gene: U2
Rfam family: U2 spliceosomal RNA
About the family: U2 is a small nuclear RNA (snRNA) component of the spliceosome (involved in pre-mRNA splicing). Complementary binding between U2 snRNA (in an area lying towards the 5' end but 3' to hairpin I) and the branchpoint sequence (BPS) of the intron results the bulging out of an unpaired adenosine, on the BPS, which initiates a nucleophilic attack at the intronic 5' splice site, thus starting the first of two transesterification reactions that mediate splicing.
Source: Ensembl